GAACAGUCGGCGAAGGCGGGCAGAUCGAAGAUGGCCACACAAUACAUAUACUCUUCUGUAUUGGUCAAUUCAACAACACUGUCUUGAACCAAAUUGGAUUUAUAAUUUCCGACACGAUAUUACGUACGGGCAUAACUAGAUUGAUUCGGCUAGGGUCAAUCAAUUUCUUUUAUCUGAUAUACGGCUUUAACCUAGACGACAUUUUGCGGUCUAAAGACGAUCUAGCACUUUAGUUAUGCGGUGUACCCAAUGACUUUAUUAUCCUCUCUUCUUUGGUUCAGUACAAAUUUUAAAGGCUUAAUUAGUCACCGGUUCGAAGCCGAAAAGGGUGGAGAACGUUCGGCUUAAGCGAUAUGCUCGCACACUUGUGUAUACGUAUAUGUAUACACACAUUUAUAUCAUAUAUCUACGUAUACUGUAUAUACAUUCAAGCCGUUAACGUAUAAUGUCUUCUUGAAUCCAGUUUCUUUUUCGAUUAAGACGGAGCAAGCUGCAGAUUGAAGCAUCAUCAUUAGCAAGAAACUGAGCUGAGAAGACCUUUGAAAUAAUGUUGUCAGACGAAGACAAAAAUACAUACAAAUAUGUAUGUAUGUAUACAUAGGAAGGAAGCAGACAAAAAAAGAGGCAAUAACAAAACAAAGGGAAUGCUUUUUGGACCUUUAUAACGAGCCCCACAGACACAGCUGUAUCGUCUCGAUUCGCAAGAUGUGAUCCAGAAAGGAGAAAAUAUAUAAAUAUUAGUAAGAUCUUAGUAGAUCUUAGUGUGUGAUAAGUUCGAAUUGAUUGCUGUAAGAGCCCCAGAGUAAGCGAAUAAGCU
Molecule: long non-coding RNA, 817 nt
Filed under: Drosophila melanogaster (fruit fly)
Lineage: Eukaryota; Metazoa; Arthropoda; Insecta; Diptera; Drosophilidae
Description: antisense RNA:CR43957 (Dmel_CR43957)
Source: RNAcentral